GCCCCCAUAGCUCAAUGGAUAGAGCAGUAGCCUUCUAAGCUAUGAGUCCAGGUUCGACUCCUGGUGGGGGCG
RNAcentral lists this transfer RNA (72 nucleotides) under Candidatus Portnoybacteria bacterium RIFCSPHIGHO2_01_FULL_40_12b. Its description in RNAcentral is "tRNA-Arg". It matches the Rfam family "tRNA". From Rfam's summary of the family: Transfer RNA (tRNA) molecules are approximately 80 nucleotides in length. Their secondary structure includes four short double-helical elements and three loops (D, anti-codon, and T loops). Further hydrogen bonds mediate the characteristic L-shaped molecular structure. tRNAs have two regions of fundamental functional importance: the anti-codon, which is responsible for specific mRNA codon recognition, and the 3' end, to which the tRNAs corresponding amino acid is attached (by aminoacyl-tRNA synthetases). tRNAs cope with the degeneracy of the genetic code in two manners: having more than one tRNA (with a specific anti-codon) for a particular amino acid; and 'wobble' base-pairing, i.e. permitting non-standard base-pairing at the 3rd anti-codon position. Lineage: Bacteria; Candidatus Portnoyibacteriota. RNAcentral also lists the same sequence under 2 other names. The record is from RNAcentral.